CUUAAGAUGAGAUGUGAUUUUGAACCUACCUCUCAACUGAAUCACACUGUUAACCUUAUGCCUACCCCUAAACUUACAUGAAGACCAAAAAGCUCAUGUUUGUUUUCCUGAAUGUCUAGAACAUAGCCUUUGUGGCUGUGAUAACCGGAAAUGCUUAGGAAGUGUUGUUGAUGCUAUCACUUUCGUGUCAAAGACACUGGAAGAAAAUGAGAAGUCAACACGAACGUUAGAUCCUUAACUUAAAAUAAUGUAUUAAAUACAGUUGUUGAGUGUUUUUCUCAACAAGAGAUUAACAGCUGCUGCUGAGGAGAUAUUUGUUUGAGUUGAGAAAACGAUAGCAGAGAUUCAGGACGCAGUUUUUCGUUCAAAAGAAGAAAACGACCGUGUAGGCUACUUGACAUAAAUCUACUCAAAUGCGGAUCAGAACUCCAGCAGUUCACCCUCUCUGUCUCUGAAGUGGAGGUACCCCCUGAGCAGGAGAAGAGCCCCAGUCUGGGGCAGGAAGACACAUAGCCCACACAGAUAAAAUAGGAACAGGGGGAACUCAGGCCCAGUCAAGAGGAAGAGCAGAACCCACAUACCAUAGAGUUUAUAUUCACUCCUGUCCUUGUGAAAAGUCACUGUGAUGAGGACCCAACUCAGCCCUCACAUCUCUAUCAAGCCCCAAAGGAAAGCAACCGAGAGGGUGACACUCUGCCCAAUACUACAACUGAACAGAACAAAACAGAACCGGAUGGAGAAGACUACAGAGAAUGCGAACCAGUGAUUCUCAUACCCUCUCUGCAGUAAAUCCAGACUGUUCUGAGGAUCAGAGUGAGAACUCUGAAAGUGUCCAUAGUAUUAAAAAUGCAGGAUCUCCUUCAGGUUUUAAUCCAGUCAAAUCAAAGAGAAAACAGAUUGUAAAAAUACAACAUUCCUGUAUUAAUACUAAGGUUAGAAAAUCUAUAGAGUUAUCUAAAGUGAAAACACCCAGUCAAAGUAAUGCUGCUGUUUCUUGUUGUAAGGUGUGUGGCAAGUCUUUUCUUUAUAUGGGUUCAUUAAUGAAACAUGUGAAAACUCA
Oncorhynchus tshawytscha (Chinook salmon) is the source of this 1060-nucleotide long non-coding RNA. RefSeq lists it as uncharacterized. Lineage: Eukaryota; Metazoa; Chordata; Actinopteri; Salmoniformes; Salmonidae. The record is from RefSeq and is a predicted model, not a curated record. The transcript is spliced from 2 exons.